CAGUAGCCGCGGGAAUACGUAGGUGGCAAGCGUUGUCCGGAAUUAUUGGGCGUAAAGGGCUCGCAGGCGGUUUCUUAAGUCUGAUGUGAAAGCCCCCGGCUCAACCGGGGAGGGUCAUUGGAAACUGGGAAACUUGAGUGCAGAAGAGGAGAGUGGAAUUCCACGUGUAGCGGUGAAAUGCGUAGAGAUGUGGAGGAACACCAGUGGCGAAGGCGACUCUCUGGUCUGUAACUGACGCUGAGGAGCGAAAGCGGGGGGAGCGAACAGGAUUAGAUACCCCAGUAGUCCUGUCUCUUAUACA
RNAcentral lists this ribosomal RNA (301 nucleotides) under uncultured bacterium. RNAcentral's name for it is "partial 16S ribosomal RNA". It matches the Rfam family "Bacterial small subunit ribosomal RNA", at positions 509 to 809 of the family's 1533-position model. The record is from RNAcentral.